Molecule: RNA transcript, 5097 nt
Organism: Prionailurus viverrinus (fishing cat)
Lineage: Eukaryota; Metazoa; Chordata; Mammalia; Carnivora; Felidae
Gene: NOXA1
Gene name: NADPH oxidase activator 1
Exons: 15
Source: RefSeq, a predicted model, not a curated record
GUCGCUCUGCCGCGAGAGGGCGCUCUGGGCAGCAGGAGACGGCGCACCCGCGGCUCGUGGACUCCGCGCGCUCCCAGCGCCGCGUCCCGCCCGGAUACCCUGCCGGCCUCGGAGUGGGGGCCCCACAUCCCCACGCUAGUCUCCCGACCCUGAAGGCCCUGCCUCGCGGCCCUCGGCCCGCAGUCGUCCCGCCGGACCCCUCGCGGGACCCCCACCGCCGCCGCCGGCCGCGCCCGCAGCGCUCCCGCCCGGAAGCGCGGACUUCCGCCGCACGGUUCCGCGGGUGUCCACGCCGCCAUGCCCUCUCUCGGGGACCUGCUGCGGGAAUGGGACCGGGGCGCGCAGGCCGUAGCGCGCGGGGACUGGGACUGUGCCCUGCGCCUCUUCUCGGGCUACCCGGAGCCGUCCGCCAGGAUGUGCUUCAACGUGGGCUGCGUGCACCUGUUGGCCGGGGACCCGGAGGCCGCGCUGCGGGCAUUUGACCAAGCAGUGACCAAGGACACUUGCAUGGCUGUGGGCUUCUUCCAGCGAGGAGUGGCCAGCUUCCAGCUGGAGAGGUUCCAGGAGGCCCUGUGUGACUUCCGUCUGGCCCUGGCACAGCUGAGGGACAACACCGCCAUUGACUAUACACAGCUGGGCCUGCGGUUCAAGCUGCAUGCCUGGGAGGUGCUCUUCAACUUGGGGGCCGCACAGUGCCGCCUGGGUCUCUGGGCUGAGGCCACCCGCAGCCUAGAGGAAGCCCUCUCCAAGGGGUCAGAAGGGGCCCGAGACCACCUGUGCACUGCCCUGGACCAAGUGCAGAAACAGGUGCACCUGCAGCCUCGGCAGGGCCCCAGCGGUGAGGUCUUCCGGCCCCACAGGUGGCACCUGGAGCUCCUGGAACCAGUGGAUUUCCUGGGCAAGGCCAAGGUGGUAUCCUCUGCCUUCCCUGCCGACCGGCAGGAGGACAUCCAGCCUCAGCAGCCCCAGGUUCAGGGUGCAGAUGGCAGAGCCAGGCCUGGAGCCGCCCCACGGGCUGCAGUCACCGGGGCCUGGAAAACCCGCACCGCCUGUGGUCCCAGGAAGCCCCCUGAGACAGAGACACAGGUCGGCCCUGGGCAGGCGGGGCAGGCUGACCACCAUACGCCUGUCCUCUCCGAUGAACAGCUGGUUCACAGGCCGUACGCCUCACCACUGGACCUGCUUCCACAAGCCAGGGACACUGCCCCACCCCCAGGGCCCCCAUCCCUGGCCCCUGCUCCAAGCCUGUGGCUUUCCCUGCAGAGGCCCAGUGUGGAACAAGUUGGCAAACAGGUUCCUCCAGGGCUGCGGGUGGCAGGGGAGCCAGACCCCGGCCCUUCUGAAGACCCCUCUCACGCUGGGGGAGUGGCCGUGGGGGACCCUGAGUCCUUGGCGACCCUCAUAGUGCAGUGUGCCUUCACACUGGCCCUGAAGGUCCCAAGAGGAGCUGACCUGUCCAGCCUGCGGACCCUGCUGAGCCAGGCCCUCCCCCACCAGGCCCAGCACGGGCAGCUCAGUUACCAAGACCCCAGCAACGAGGGGCACUGGGUCCCCCUUGCUAGGGAGGAGGUGCUACAGAGGGCCUGGCGGGACAAGGCGGCCAGCCCUGGGGUCCUGCGGCUCCAGUGCCGGGUGAGCCCCAGGAGAGCCCGGUGUGGGUCCCGGUGCGUGUGGGGCGGGGGAGGCCCUGGGGCCCUUCUGCAGCCGGCCCACCCUGGAGCCCUCCCCUGCCACAGGGAGCGGGCGGCCGGCCUGUCCUCUACCAGGUGGUGGCCCGGCACAGCUACUCUGCCCAGGGGCCUGAGGACCUGGACUUACAGCUGGGGGACAUCGUGGACGUCCUGUGUGAAGUGGACCCGGCCUGGUUGGAGGGCCACUGUGAUGGCCGCAUCGGCAUUUUCCCCAAGUGCUUCGUGGUCCCAGCUGGACAGUACAUGUGAGGAGCCCAACACCCCCACCUGGAGCCCCACAUACCCCAAGCCCAGUGAGGAAAUCAGCCCUAGGAAGUCCCGUGGCAAGAACGGUUUUAAUAAAGCAAUCUUCCCCCCACUAAGGUGUGGUCUGUGUUCUUGGCUUGUCCGCUGUGAGGGCCCGAUGGAGGCUUUGAGGAUGGGGGAUGGGGCUGCUCCCAGAGAAGCCUAGGAGCCUGGAUACCUCCCCUCAGGGCAGCCGCCCAGCUUAGCCCUGGGGCCAGAGGAGCUGGCCUGCCACAGCCCCCAGAGUAACCGCGAGAGUCAGCACGGCAAAGACGACCCCGGCCGCCCAGAUGCCAUAGCUCUGUGCCCGCCACUGGGCAGGCACCUCGGCCGGGAUCAUGCUGGUCAGGUUCAGCAUGUAGCCCAGCGUCCAGCCCAUCUCCGUGCCACCAGCCUGUGGGACACACAGGCUGCUCAGUGCCGUGGGCGGCUGCCCUGGAGCCCCUGACCCGCCCUCGCCCUGGGCCAGGUGGUCACCUGCUUGCGGAACUCGAUGCCAGGCCAAGUCUCCUCACUGAACCCGUAGCCCUCAAGCAGCAGCGUGAGAAUAUACAGCCCCGAGGUACAGUAGUCACGAAGCCAGCGGUCCUGCCCGGGCGAGCUGGCCUCCACCUGGGGGCCCGGGAGGUGAGGAGCCAGUUGAUGUCCCCACUCCCAGCCUCCCAGGGACAGGGUCCCCCCAAGUCCCUGCCUGCUGAGGUCUGUGCCUGUGACAGCUGCGGCUCGGAGACCCAGGGCGGCCCUGGGAUCCACCCACCUGCUUCCAGGGCCUCUGGCAGAACUCCCAGAUGGUGGCGUUGACAGUGGCCAGUGGCUGCUUGGACGUGAGGUUCAGGAAGUGGAAGGUGUAGUAGAAGUUCGAGAAGGCCUGGGGGUAGAGGGGGGUGAUGAGCUGUGUGUCUUCCCUGGGCACUGGGGUGAUGCCCGGUGGGCCCGGGUCAGAGGAGCCCUGGACAAACCAGGCAAAGUCCCCCCCUGCCCCCAUGCGGGGCCCCAGAGUUCCCAAGAGCCCGCCUGUGCAGGGCUCAUCCUGGGCCCACCUGGGGUCAGACCCCUGGGGCCCGGGGCCGUGGAAGGAGGCUGAGACCCUGGGGAGGACAGGGUAGGGAGCUCACAUAGAACUGGCCCCGCACAGGGGGCUGGUAGACCCCAUUGAAGGCACAGUGUCCUCGGCCCUGGCAGCUGGAGAAGUUGAAGAGGCCCCGGAUGGCUGAGAUACAAGCCCCGGGGUUCCCUGUCCCUUCCACAGUGAGGUUCCCGGCCAGCUCUGGAGGGGCUGCCGUGUGCACACAGGGGGACUCGUAGAGGGCGGCCGGGGACAGCGUGGCCCAGUAGCCGCUGUGGUAGCAUGGGUGGCGGACCAGGGGGCCGGAGCUGCUCUGCGGGAGGGCAGGGAGGUGGCCUUGAGCCCAGCCCAGGGCCACAGGCCACCCCAGCUCGCCUCCCCCUCCUCUGUGGCCCAGCCGACCUGCACCAGCUGUGCCAGAAGCCUGCUCAGCAUCUGGUCCCGCCCGAAACAGAGGUAGCUGUGGGUGUAGACACUGUGCUCAGAUCCGUAGAGGCGGAAGGUGGUCUGGGUGCUCUUGUCCAGUAUGGGGCCUCCAGGCACAAAGGUGAUCUGGGUGGAGGCUCCACCCAUGUCCAGGGCGCCCACCAGUGUCCCCUCCAGAGGCUGGAUCCAUUCUCCAGAGAAGGAGUACUGAGCACAGACAGGGGGCACUGAGUCCUGGGACCAGCCGCAUUGACCCACCGCCCCUGGUCAUCCAACCCCCACCCUCGGGCUGCACACAGCACCUUGACCAGCAUGCCCAGGACGUAGUUAAUGGUGAUCCAACCUAAAGCACCCUCGUCCUGCCCGGCCAGAAGCUCAGCACCCCAGAAGUCCAGGGGGGACUUGCUCAGGACCUGGGUGACCGCCUCGAAGAUGUCUCUUGCCUGAGAGCUAUUCUUCUGGCUGGACAGAAAAGACCAGCAGCCCGAGCUGGCAGGAGACCCACACCCACUCCACUCCGCCCGCUGGCCCAAGGCAUUGACACCACCACGGCUCUCGGAGCUGUUCCUCACGGAUGUGCCAUAGGCCUCAAGUCAGCCCAGCUCACCUGAGUAGUCUCAUGCCAGCCGUGGCCCCCAGGAACAGGGGUGUCUUCCGCUGCUGUGCCUCUGGGAUCAGCGCCAGCGCUUCCUCCAGGCAGCCCUGCAGGCUCUCACCGGCUUGUGCAGGAUUGGAGGCAUAGGAGGAGAUUCCAGGCCCUGAAACACAGCACCCCAGGACGAGGCUCCAGGCCUGAAGGCUGGGCUGGGCCGGAAGAGCCUGUGGGGAGUUGAACAGUGUCUCCGCCCCCCACCGCCCCCAAAAGGUUGAUCUGCUGAUUUGCUAAAGGAUGUAAAUGUGGCUCAGCUGGCUCCGGCCUGUACCACCUCCCAACCCUCCGCCUCGCCGGGAAUCCCUCCCAGACAGCAGCCGACAGCCGUGCACACCCGCUCUGUCCCCAGAGCUGCCUACUGACCUUUCGCCUGGCAGACCAGGGCCUGGCUGACCACACCCGUGUCGUUCUCCUUGUCUGCUGGCCACCGGUACACAAAGAGGGACGUGUGGGAGGACCCCGCGUCAAACACAAUCCCAAACUGAGAGUGACAACAAGGUCAGGAGGGCGUGGGGCCAGCGCCCAGCCCAGCCCAGCCCAACCUCCCCACUGCUCGGGGUCUGGGGGCCUACCUUGGUGUCUGUGGGCAGGAGGACAUCAGUGGCCUCCACCAGAAUGAGAAUGAGCAUGGUGAGGCCUGAGGCCACUGCCGCCCCGAGCAGUGCCGUGAGAACCCGCGGCUUCCAGGUCAGCCCCAUCAGGGCAGGGCAGGGCAGGGCAGGGCUGGGCUGGCACCUGCGGGUGUGGGCAGCAGUGGGCACCGGACGCCCCUUGCCACAGACACUGCUGCCCUGGAGAGCCACCCCGUCCUCCCUGGGGCUCAGCACGUCUGAGCUCAGUCAGUGGGCAAAGCUGAAGACCACACCCCAGGAGCCGGGCCUGCCCAGGAGUGCUGUGGAGCCAGGGUCCAGCCUGGGACAUACAGUGAUGAUGGGGUCCAGAAGAGCCCCUUUCUUUCUUCUUUUCAGACAGAGAGA